CCAAACUAUUCGUCGGUGGCUGGCGCGGGAGAACAGGAAGUGCCUGCACAGGUGUAACUGGGAGGAUCUGCAAGCCUGCAAUCUGAGCCGGUUUGGAGGUUUUGUUGUUAUCCAGAGGUUUGCUUUAUCCAUGCAGGACCUGAUAAAGGCUUGCAAAAUGUAACCGCAGGUCCUUAUCUGUUCGCAGUUUUCCAUAUCUGGAAAUAUCGCCCCCUCCCCGCCCCCCGCGCGUGAUGUUUUCAAGGCUACUUUUGAGGAUUCUGCUUCUCUUCCUCUUCUCCUUUCAACUUCCAGCCACACCACACUGCUGAAGCAGAGUCUCAUUUGACAGAGGAUGGUAGGCUACCUCGUACUUGAGUUACAUUUGGAGAGCUGCACUGUGUUGCUACAGAACACAGACAAGAGUACCUAAGGGAAACUGAAGCUGUAUGUGAGCCAUCAUCUUAAGAUUAAGAAGACGACUGAGCAGACGAGAUGCCAAGGCAAACUGGGAAGAAUUUCAGGCCAUAGCAAGGUGCCUCUUCUAUUACUUUCUGUGGCUAGGUGCAUCCUCAUGUUAUUUUAUGGGGGUUUCUAUUGCUAUGAAGAGACACUAUGGCCACAGCAACUGUUAUAAAGGAGAACAUUUAAUUCAGGUGGCUUCUAGUUGAGAGGUUUAGUCCAUCAUCAUCAUCAUGGUGGGCAUGGCAGUGUGCAGGCAGACAUGUGCUGCAGGAGGAGCCGAGAGUCCCGCAUCUCAGUCUGCAGGCGACAGGAAGUGGAUCAGCUCUUUACUAGCAAAGCUUGAGCCAGCCCCGCAGUGACACACCUACUCCAGCAAGGCACACCACCUAAUAGUGCCGUGCUCCAUGAGUUUGUG
This 859-nucleotide long non-coding RNA is filed under the name Cricetulus griseus (Chinese hamster). RNAcentral's name for it is "lncRNA (ENSCGRG00015035677.1)". The record is from RNAcentral. Lineage: Eukaryota; Metazoa; Chordata; Mammalia; Rodentia; Cricetidae.